GACAGCAUGGUGUAGUGGCUUGAGUGCUAGACUAUGACUCUGGAGACCAAGGUUUGAAUCCUGGCUCAGCCA
Molecule: non-coding RNA, 72 nt
Organism: Phrynosoma platyrhinos (Desert horned lizard)
Lineage: Eukaryota; Metazoa; Chordata; Lepidosauria; Squamata; Phrynosomatidae
Source: the annotation of a GenBank genome assembly